This 201-nucleotide non-coding RNA is filed under the name Clostridioides difficile. Lineage: Bacteria; Bacillati; Bacillota; Clostridia; Peptostreptococcales; Peptostreptococcaceae. The record is from RNAcentral.
GAGAACUGAUAACCCAAAGGGUGGAAUGACAGGGUAACGCCUUGAAACGCCCACCUAAUACUCCGAUUGGCGUUUACUGGAUAGCAGGUAGAUGUCAAAAGCUCGGUGAAGUCGGCUGAAAGCUAUCGUAAAUAUCCUUAAGGGAUAUACGAAACCUGUCCAGAUGUGGACGGUGUAGCCCAUAGGUCGGGGGUCUAUAAA